This 465-nucleotide ribosomal RNA is filed under the name Vreelandella stevensii. Its description in RNAcentral is "partial 16S ribosomal RNA". It matches the Rfam family "Bacterial small subunit ribosomal RNA", at positions 338 to 795 of the family's 1533-position model. Lineage: Bacteria; Pseudomonadati; Pseudomonadota; Gammaproteobacteria; Oceanospirillales; Halomonadaceae. The record is from RNAcentral.
CCUACGGGUGGCUGCAGUGGGGAAUAUUGGACAAUGGGCGAAAGCCUGAUCCAGCCAUGCCGCGUGUGUGAAGAAGGCCUUCGGGUUGUAAAGCACUUUCAGUGGGGAAGAAAGCCUUGGGGCUAAUACCCUCGAGGAAGGACAUCACCCACAGAAGAAGCACCGGCUAACUCCGUGCCAGCAGCCGCGGUAAUACGGAGGGUGCGAGCGUUAAUCGGAAUUAAUGGGCGUAAAGCGCGCGUAGGCGGUCUGAUAAGCCGGUUGUGAAAGCCCCGGGCUCAACCUGGGAACGGCAUCCGGAACUGUCAGGAUAGAGUGGAGGAGAGGAAGGUAGAAUUCCCGGUGUAGCGGUGAAAUGCGUAGAGUUCGGGAGGAAUACCAGUGGCGAAGGCGGCCUUCUGGACUGACACUGACGCUGAGGUGCGAAAGCGUGGGUAGCAAACAGGAUUAGCUACCCGGGUAGUC